This 110-nucleotide ribosomal RNA is filed under the name Devosia sp. Its description in RNAcentral is "partial 16S ribosomal RNA". It matches the Rfam family "Bacterial small subunit ribosomal RNA", at positions 1 to 123 of the family's 1533-position model. The record is from RNAcentral. Lineage: Bacteria; Pseudomonadati; Pseudomonadota; Alphaproteobacteria; Hyphomicrobiales; Devosiaceae.
AAACUUGAGAGUUUGAUCCUGGCUCAGAACGAACGCUGGCGGCAGGCUUAACACAUGCAAGUCGAACGCCCCGCAAGGGGAGUGGCAGACGGGUGAGUAACGCGUGGGAA